RNAcentral lists this ribosomal RNA (440 nucleotides) under uncultured bacterium. RNAcentral's name for it is "partial 16S ribosomal RNA". It matches the Rfam family "Bacterial small subunit ribosomal RNA", at positions 338 to 795 of the family's 1533-position model. The record is from RNAcentral.
CCUACGGGAGGCUGCAGUGGGGAAUAUUGGACAAUGGGCGCGACCCUGAAGCAGCCAAGCCGCGUGGAGGAUGACGGUUUUAGGAUUGUUAAAUCUUUUUGUGAGAGGAGCUAAUGACGGUAUCUCACGAAUCAGCACCGGCUAACUCCGUGCCAGCAGCCGCGGUCAUCCGGAGGGUGCAAGCGUUACUCGGAAUCACUGGGCGUAAAGGGUGCGCAGACGGGCUUGUAAGUCAGAUGUGAAAGCCUGUAGCUUAACUGCAGAACUGCAUUUGAAACUAUGAGUCUAGAGUAUAGUAGAGGUAGGUGGAAUUCGUGGUGUAGCGGUAAAAUCCGUAGAUAUCAAGAAGAAUUCUCAUUGCGAAGGCGACCUACUGGAACAUUACUGACACUCAUGCUCGAAAGCGUGGGGAGCAAACAGGAUUAGAUACCCUGGUAGUC